This 253-nucleotide ribosomal RNA is filed under the name uncultured bacterium. RNAcentral's name for it is "partial 16S ribosomal RNA". It matches the Rfam family "Bacterial small subunit ribosomal RNA", at positions 524 to 776 of the family's 1533-position model. The record is from RNAcentral.
UACGUAGGGACCAAGCGUUGUUCGGAUUUACUGGGCGUAAAGGGCGCGUAGGCGGCUUAACAAGUCACUUGUGAAAUCUCCGGGCUUAACUCGGAACGGCCAAGUGAAACUGUCAUGCUAGAGUGCAGAAGGGGCAAUCGGAAUUCUUGGUGUAGCGGUGAAAUGCGUAGAUAUCAAGAGGAACACCUGAGGUGAAGACGGGUUGCUGGGCUGACACUGACGCUGAGGCGCGAAAGCCAGGGGAGCAAACGGG